This 498-nucleotide ribosomal RNA is filed under the name uncultured bacterium. Its description in RNAcentral is "partial 16S ribosomal RNA". It matches the Rfam family "Bacterial small subunit ribosomal RNA", at positions 28 to 507 of the family's 1533-position model. The record is from RNAcentral.
GACGAACGCUGGCGGCGUGCCUAAUACAUGCCAGUCGAGCGGACGGAUGGGAGCUUGCUCCCAGACCGUCAGCGGCGGACGGGUGAGUAACACGUGGGCAACCUGCCUGUAAGACUGGGAUAACUCCGGGAAACCGGGGCUAAUACCGGAUAACUCUUUCCCUCACAUGAGGGAAAGCUGAAAGAUGGCAUCUCGCUAUCACUUACAGAUGGGCCCGCGGCGCAUUAGCUAGUUGGUGAGGUAACGGCUCACCAAGGCGACGAUGCGUAGCCGACCUGAGAGGGUGAUCGGCCACACGGGGACUGAGACACGGCCCAGACUGCUACGGGAGGCAGCAGUAGGGAAUCUUACGCAAUGGACGAAAGUCUGACGGAGCAACGCCGCGUGAGUGAUGAAGGUGUUCGGAUCGUAAAACUCUGUUGUCAGGGAAGAACAAGUACCGGAGUAACUGCCGGUACCUUGACGGUACCUGACCAGAAAGCCACGGCUAACUACGUG